CCGCCGCCAUUGUGUGCAGCAACUAGGCUUCUUGAUCGCCCCGCAGUGCUGUAUCGCAACAAUCCGGCGAGGUUUCGGAAAGCGCCCAGUGGGAAGAACUUCUUUAACGCCGAGCUACUACUGCCAGCGCCAAGUUGUACUGUUGCGACGACUCGUGUCAGUCGUAAUGCACCGGCCUCAAUCUGAUGCCGCCGCACUGCACCAGAGUUAUAACACGACUGGCCACGGAUCUCAGCACGCAGCUCCGCAAGACGACCGGAGUGGCCGCGCUCAGAGACCAGCAACCGUGUGGGAACGAAUCUCAAAGUACUCGCGGGUGCACGAAACACGGCAGGGAUCUCGGCAUCUUUCCUUCUGGCGGCUCCCAGGGGCCGGGGUUCUUUCGGUCCAGCAACGAUUGCCCGCGCGCCUUUGUCAACGGGACAGCGGACAGCGGAGAGCUGCGCAGAAGAAGCGGCCUUUGUCAUUCUGGUCGUGGAUCCGCUGGGGCAGCCACGGCAUCGCUUCUCGCUCCAGUUGACUUCUCGAAGACGAUCGUUGACAACGGACGGAAUGAGCUCGGAGCUGCCGCCGCGUGUUGUGAACCAGGGCGACGCCUCCGCCGGCCCCGGGUUGUCGAAGCCUCCGCCCACCUCCUGACCAUCGCGGGAACACUGCGCAGCCUUAGUCACGUCUUCAGCGGUGGGGCUUGGCGCCUGGGCGACGUGUCUCGCUUUGAGUGCACCCACAGCUUUUGCCUGGCUGGUUUCGCGCACGGGGUCGACAAGCCCGCAGUCGUCACCUUCCACGAUUUGUCCCGUCCCGCGGGCAGUCCCACCGCUGCUUGCAUCCACAGGGACUGCGAAAUUCGGUGAAGCCGAUCACUCCUCCACUAUUCUGACUUUGGCUGAGUAAUUGUCACACAAAGUUUCGUACUUUUCAAGCAGUACAAGGACGUCUUGGCAGAUCUUGUGGAGAUUAUAGGCUCCCAUAAAAUCGGGUCUCCGAAGGCUGGCACGGAAGACGGGAUGCGCUUGCGAAAUUUUGCCGAUGGCGCGCCUCUCGAGGAGCCGGCGAAUUACGAAGCACGCCGGUGACCUGGACCUUUCGCCGUUGUUUUUUUCCGUACAAUCCUGUGGCAACUCGAUUGCAGCUUCAUAUUUUUUAGCGCGAGAUCUUAUUUGUUCUUACAUUUGUAAAAAUAUAUGUUCGUAUAUGCUAUA
This is a long non-coding RNA of Dermacentor albipictus, 1202 nucleotides long. RefSeq lists it as uncharacterized. Lineage: Eukaryota; Metazoa; Arthropoda; Arachnida; Ixodida; Ixodidae. The record is from RefSeq and is a predicted model, not a curated record.